Molecule: microRNA, 21 nt
Filed under: Picea abies (Norway spruce)
Lineage: Eukaryota; Viridiplantae; Streptophyta; Pinopsida; Pinales; Pinaceae
Description: pab-miR11494
Source: miRBase by way of RNAcentral
UAUAAGAAUGCAUGAUCACCU